Molecule: non-coding RNA, 201 nt
Organism: Pelobates cultripes (western spadefoot toad)
Lineage: Eukaryota; Metazoa; Chordata; Amphibia; Anura; Pelobatidae
Source: the annotation of a GenBank genome assembly
AAACUACCACAACAAGAGGACAUAGUCUUAAAUUAGAGGGACAAAGGUUUAAAAAUAAUAUCAGGAAGUAUUACUUUACUGAGAGGGGAGUGGAUGCAUGGAAUAGCCUUCCAGCUGAAGUGGUAGAGGUUAACACAGUAAAGGAGUUUAAGCAUGCGUGGGAUAGGCAUAAGGCUAUCCUAACUAUAAGAUAAGGCUAGG